AUACGGAGGAUCCGAGCGUUAUCCGGAUUUAUUGGGUUUAAAGGGUGCGCAGGCGGCCAUUUAAGUCAGCGGUUAAAUCGUGGGGCUCAACCCCAUUCUGCCGUUGAUACUGGGUGGCUUGAUUGCGGUCGAGGUUGGCGGAAUUCGUUGUGUAGCGGUGAAAUGCAUAGAUAUGACGAAGAACACCGAUUGCGUAGGCAGCUGACCAGACCGCAAAUGACGCUCAUGCACGAAAGUGCGGGGAUCGAGCAGGAUUAGAUACCCUGGUAGUCCGCACAGUAAACGAUGAAUACUUGUUUUCGGCGAUAUAAUGUCGGAGGCAAAGCGAAAGCGAUAAGUAUUCCACCUGGGGAGUACGCCGGCAACGGUGAAACUCAAAUGAAUUGACGGGG
This 392-nucleotide ribosomal RNA is filed under the name uncultured bacterium. RNAcentral describes it as "partial 16S ribosomal RNA". It matches the Rfam family "Bacterial small subunit ribosomal RNA", at positions 523 to 918 of the family's 1533-position model. The record is from RNAcentral.